ACAUCCGCUAAAAAGCAAUGAGAAAUCCGCCAGAUUCCGCUAGAUUCUAAAACAUAUCCGCUAAAUUUCCCGCUAGGGCCUAUUUUAUUCAAAAAAUACUGCAAUUUCGUAUGAUAAAUACCUUUAUCAUUCUUAAAAGCUCCCCAGAACUACGAGAGCUGAAAUAACAUAUAAAAUAGUCUUUCAAGGAGUCUAACUAGAACACUUGAGGCUUCGGUGCUGCGGUGGUCGUCAUUGGUGAACCUCAUCACAGAUGAGGCUAAAAGUUAUAAAUGUUCACACUGAUCAAAAAAAAAACUCACAGGUCAACGAAAAACACAUCGAGGUCUUCGUCGCCGCUGUUGUCGUCUGACACCAUCUCCACAGGACCGCUGGUACUCGUUGAGGGACCAGACAGGUGACUUGGUUGCACAUACGUUGCAGAUGUCCCGAUUGCACUAACAACUGCCGCGGGAAGUUCGUAAUCAAAACAACUUUUCUGGUGUCGCUUCAGCCCCGCUCUUACGACGAGGAUGGCAUUUGUUGUUUCAGGCUUCAGCUUGUUCCUCAGCUUGGAUUUUACUAUGUUAAGCUGACUAAAUGUCCUCUCUA
Molecule: long non-coding RNA, 591 nt
Organism: Rhipicephalus sanguineus (brown dog tick)
Lineage: Eukaryota; Metazoa; Arthropoda; Arachnida; Ixodida; Ixodidae
Exons: 2
Source: RefSeq, a predicted model, not a curated record